This 325-nucleotide small nuclear RNA is filed under the name Castor canadensis (American beaver). Its description in RNAcentral is "7SK RNA (ENSCCNG00000006648.1)". The stretch from base 1 to 277 matches the Rfam family "7SK RNA". From Rfam's summary of the family: 7SK was discovered as an abundant small nuclear RNA in the mid-70s but a possible function has only recently been suggested. Two independent studies have found that 7SK RNA binds the CDK9/cyclin T complex (known as elongation factor P-TEFb). The record is from RNAcentral. Lineage: Eukaryota; Metazoa; Chordata; Mammalia; Rodentia; Castoridae.
GGAUGUGAGGGUGAUCUGGCUGCAAUAUCUGUCACCCCAUUGAUCACCAGGGUUGAUUCAACGGAUCUGGCUGGCUAGGUGAGUGCCCCCUUCCACUGCUUCAUGUGAGUCACCCCUGAAGCUGCACACUCGGUCAAAGAGGACGACCAUCCCCGAUAGAGGAGGACCUUUCAUCAGUCAAGGGUAUACAAGUAGCUGCGCUCCCCUGCUAGAACUGCCAAACAAGCUCUCAAGAGAAAUAUCAGUGAAAUACAAUGAUUAGAGCAAAAACCACUAGGAGGGAACUGAAACCCAAAAAGAGAUGAAUUAAUUAAUUGCAUUUAAU